Molecule: transfer RNA, 72 nt
Filed under: Canis lupus familiaris (dog)
Lineage: Eukaryota; Metazoa; Chordata; Mammalia; Carnivora; Canidae
Also listed under: 1 other name
Rfam family: tRNA
About the family: Transfer RNA (tRNA) molecules are approximately 80 nucleotides in length. Their secondary structure includes four short double-helical elements and three loops (D, anti-codon, and T loops).
Source: Rfam by way of RNAcentral
ACCUGGCUAGCUCAGUUAGUAGAGCAUGUGACUCUUGAUCUUUAGAUAGGAGUUCAAGGCCCAUGUUGGGUA